Long non-coding RNA from Hypanus sabinus (Atlantic stingray), 4410 nucleotides. RefSeq lists it as uncharacterized. NCBI's taxonomy places the organism in Eukaryota, Metazoa, Chordata, Chondrichthyes, Myliobatiformes, Dasyatidae. The record is from RefSeq and is a predicted model, not a curated record. The transcript is spliced from 6 exons.
UGUUCACCCGGUCAUUCAACAUACCACAGGCUCUCUUUCUCCCUAAUAAAUGAAAAAGGGAUGUCUCCAUUUCACAGCGAGAGGGGAGACAUAACAAACAACUCGUUGAUUUAUAAUAAGUCUGUUGUGUUGCUUUUUUCAAGCUCUGUGCCCAGAGAGUUAGCCGCAGAAAGGCUCUGGCCUCUGGACAAUCCUUCCUAUAAAGAGGUGACCAGAACUGAACACAAUAUUCCAAAUGUGGCCUGACCAGAGUUUUAUAGAAUUGCCAACAUUUUGUUGUGGCUCUUGAACUCAGUCCUUGAGUAAUGAAGGCCAUCACACCAUAUGCCUUUUUAACCACCUUGUCAACUUGGGGUUGAUAAGCAACUUAGGGAUCUAUGGACACGAUCCCACUGUUCUUCCAAACUGUUAAGAAUCUUACCAUUAACCCAGUACACUGCCUUCAAUUUGACCUUCCAAAGUGAAUCAUCUUUCCAUAUUUAACUCCAUCUGCCAUUUCUCAGCCCAGCUCUGUAUCCUAUCAAUGCCCCAUUGUAACCUAUGACAACCUUCUACACUACCUACAACACCAGCAAACUUUAUAUCCUUUGCGAACUUACUCUGUUACUUCCUCAUUCAAGUCAUUUAUAAGAAUUAUGAAAUGCAGUGGUCCCAGAACAGAUCCCUGUGGAACACCGCUUGUCACUGAUCUGCAGGAAGUAUGCAACCCAUCUACAACCACCCACUGCCUUCUGUGGCCAAGCCAAUUCUGAAUCCACACAGCCAAGUUUCCCUGGAUCCCAUGCUUCCUGACUUUCUAAGUAAGCCUUGUCAAAGCUUACUAAAAUCCAUAUGCACCUCAUCCACCACUCUGCUUUCAUCAAUAUGUUUUGUCACAUCCUCAAAGAAUUCAAUCAGGCUUAUGAAACAUAGCCUACGCCUCACAGAGCCUAUCCCUAAUCAGACUAUUCUUCAAAAAUGCUGUCUCUGAGAUUCCUAAUAGUUCGACCAGCAGUUUGCUACCUUUUAGUCCUCUGCACUAUUUCUAUGGGAAAUGAGGACACAGUUCCUGCACAUCCCCUUUCUUAACACCAACAUGUUGCAGCACAUCAGGCUUUUCUGUGCAGACCUCACGUUUGUCGUGGUCCCUCUCACUAGUGAAUACUGAAGCAAAGUAUUCAUUAAGGAUCUCCCCGACCUCCCUUGAGUUGAAAUGCAUGAUCCUUCUUUUGUCACUGAUCAGUCUUGCACUCACUCUCGGCACUCUCUUAUUCUUCACAUAUGUGUCAAAUGCCUUGCAUUCUCUCUAAUACUACUUGUCAAGGCCUUCUCAUGAUAGUGUCUGGCUCUCCUAAGGCCAAUAUUAAGCUCCUUCUUGGCUACCUAGUAACUCUUCAGAGCUCUGUUUGAUCAGUUACUGCCUGUUACACCACUGGUGUUUAGGGCAGCAAUGGAAGUCCUCCAUCUCUGUCUGUCUUUGGCCAUCUUUGCUAUUGUGCCCCAGCUGUGGUUCAAGGUCCUAAUUUCUGCCUCCACUGUCUGGCGCCAAGCUGUCUUUGUUCUCUUGCAUUUCCUCUGCCCUUCAGGAGCCGAUUGAAGUGCUGUCUUGAUGAUAGAGUUGGCCUCUCUUCUCCUUACGUGCCCAAUCCAUCUCCAACGUUUCCUCAUGAUGAUUGUGGCCAUAUCCUCAAAAGUUCAAAGUUCAUUGUAAGAUUUAUUAUCAGAAUACAUACACGUCACCACAUAUCACUCUGCGAUUCUUUUUCUGCAGGUAUACUUAACAAAUCAAAAUAAGAGUGACUGUAAACAAGAGCAAUGAACAACAGACUGUGCAGAUACAAAUAUAAAUAAAUAGCCAUAAAUAAUAAACAUAAAGUAAUAAGAAAGAUAAAGAGUCCUUAAAGUGAGACCAUCGGUUGUGGGAACAACAGAAGUAGAAUGAGUGCAGUUAUCCCCUUUUGUUCAAGAGCCUGAUGGUUGAUGGGUAGUAACUUUUCUUGAACCUGAGGCCCCUGAGGCCCCUGUAUCUUCUGCCUGGUGGCAGCACCUGGUGAUACUGAAGCAGUAGGGCAUGGUUUAAGAUCUAUAUUGGCCAGAAAAUGCGGAGGAUCUUCCAGAGGCUCAUGGUGUGGAAUGACAACAGCUUGGCAAGGUCAGUACCAGUCAUGCGUCAGCAUUCUGACCCGUACAAGAGUGUGGACAGAACACAGCUCUGGUACAGCUUCUUCACCUUGGCGUGGACGCUGUACUUGGUUGAUCCUCAUAUGUUGCUCAUUGAUCUAAAGAUGUUUCUAGCUUUGUUGAGUCUGCACUGGAGGUCAUCCUUGGUCCCACCAUCCUGCUGAAUGAUGCUGCCCAGGAAGGGGAAUCUGCCGCUGCUGGGUAAGUCGAUGCCAUAUGCCUUCACAGGAGGAGCAGACUCUACCAUGGUCUCAUGACUCUGGCUGACUCUGAGUCCAAACUGUCCACAGAUGCUGAGUUUUCUCUUGCAGGUGCUGGUAAUUAUGUGAAAUUAAUGUGAGGUUGUCUGCAAGGCCAAGGUCUUCUAAAGUAGAGAAUACAGUCUAUCUAGUACUUCUCUGCUUAUAACCUUUCAAUCACCACGUUAUUCCUUAGAAUGUGAAAAACUAAGAGGAGAUUUGAUAGAGGUUUUUAAAAUUAUCUGGGGUAUAGACAGGGUAAAUCCAAGCAGACUUUUUCCACUGAGGUUGGGUGGGACUACAAUUGAGGUCAUGGGUUAAGGGUGAAAGGUGAAAAUUUCAAGGAGAACAUGAGGGGAAACUUAUUCACUCAGAGGUUCGUUGGAGUGUGGAAUGAGCUGCCAGCACAAGUGGUGCAUUCAAAAAGCAGUUGAUUCAUUUUUAACUAAUCUAUUUUAGGCCAUGGCAGUCAUCACAGCUAUUUGCACAGUUUUAAGUUUGAGCAUGCAAGUCCAGAAAUUUGAUCCAUUGGCAUCCUUUGAUUCUGCAAAGAAAUUUGCAGAAAAAUUUUUUGAACUGGCACUAGAUUGCAGUAACAAUCACUUGAUCACUUCUGGAUGAAGGCAUCCCGAUAGGGAUAUUGGCACAGACAUGUCAGUCAUGUAUUUAAAUACAGCACAGUUUGUGAGUAAUCCAUUUCCUCCUUUGUUGGAGCUUUCGGUGCAAACUAUGACCUAUGUUGAUUACCCACAGAACAAUGAUCUACUCUGUUGUGUUUAUAUCUAUUUAAAAGGACAUUUUGUUGACAUCAGAAUACCUAUCUAAUAGCUCUAAACUUGCAGCACAUUGCUCAAGCACCUUCCAAAUUUCAAGCAGAAUGCUUAAGCUAAUGGAAAAUACUUUCAUGUUAUUGCAUCACUUAGCUGCUGUAAUGCUCACUCAUCGGAUGUCCCAGUGGCGUAGCACUCUAGCAGCAAUCCAUUUGGCUGAGGCGCAGCAGGAUUUCCAGCAAACCUGCCACACUAGUCUCAAUUAGCAGAGUGACAGAUAAUGUUUUCCCAAAUCAGGAUGUAUUUCAACAGUGCGACUAUGCUCAGACUCAUUUCUAACAUUCAGCAUAAAUCAAGCAGCACAAAGAUCAGCAAUCGUAACAUUUUUCUAUUAAUUUACAAACCUUAAUGCUCUUUUCCAUUUCACUGCAUUUAUAGAGAAUCAAAAUCAAUUGCAGAUACUGAAAAUCUGAAAUAAAAAUAGAAAAUUCUGCAAACACUUCUUAAGAUGAAUACCUAACUUGAAAUAUUAAUCGUCUCUUUUUCCACAGAUGCUGUCUGACCUGCUGAGUAAUCCCAGCAUGUUAUGUUUUGAUUUCACUGGCAUUACACGGUAAAACUCUAGUCAUGCAGCCCCCUCGGGAAUUUGGUGGUGCCGGACUGGCAGAUCUUCUAGUCAAUUGGAUGUUAUUCGUAGCUGAGAGAAUCAACAGAGAGCAUAUGGAACAAGAAAGACUGUUAGAACAGAAAAGAUGCUGCCUGACCUGCUGAGUUCCUCCAGCAUUUUCCGUGUGUUGCUUUGGAUUUCCAGCAUCUUCAGACUUUCUCCUGCUCGAGAGGGACCUUUUGAAGACCCUGCCCUGGAGUUACACGCGGGCUUCAGUUCUUUGUGGGAGUGGGACCUGCUCUUGGGGUUCCAUGAUGGGCUGUUAUUCAACAUGGUAUGCAAGAGCUUAACAACUAGCCUGGAUUAAGUUGAGAACAAAAAAGAAAAUUGUUUGAAGCCAAGCAUUUCUACAUUGGAUUCCAACCUAGAUUUAGCUGCAAAUCCUGAUGCUGUCAGUGACGAGCAUGGUGAAAGGUUUCAUCAGAACAUUGCAGUCAUGGAGAAACGGUAUCAGGGCAACUGGAAUCCAUCAAUGCUGGCUGAUUAUUUUUGGACACUUAAACGAGAAGCCUCAGACACUGGACGCAAAUAAAAAAUUUUCGCUUAGUUAAAAUAUUACAAAACAUCAGCACUG